UGGGGAAAUUGGGCAAUGGGGGAAACCCUGACCCAGCGACGCCGCGUGAGGGAAGACGGCCUUCGGGUUGUAAACCUCUUUUGUACGGGAAGAAGGAAGUGACGGUACUGUACGAAUAAGUCCCGGCUAACUACGUGCCAGCAGCCGCGGUAAUACGUAGGGGACGAGCGUUGUCCGGAAUUACUGGGCGUAAAGGGCGCGCAGGCUGUGCUGCAAGUCAGCUGUGAAAUGUCUGGGCUUAACCCGGGCAUGCGGUUGAGACUGCAGUGCUGGAGUGCUGUAGAGGCAAGUGGAAUUCCCAGUGUAGCGGUGAAAUGCGUAGAUAUUGGGAAGAACACCGGUGGCGAAGGCGACUUGCUGGGCAGCAACUGACGCUGAGGCGCGAAAGCCAGGGGAGCAAACGGGAUUAGAUACCCCGGUAGUCCUGGCCGUAAACGAUGAAUGCUAGGUGUGGGUGUAGAGAUACAUUCGUGCCGGAGUUAACGCGAUAAGCAUUCCGCCUGGGGAGUACGGUCGCAAGAUUGAAACUCAAAGGAA
Molecule: ribosomal RNA, 537 nt
Filed under: uncultured bacterium DGGE band 3
Lineage: Bacteria
Description: bacterial SSU rRNA
Rfam family: Bacterial small subunit ribosomal RNA
Source: RNAcentral